Molecule: long non-coding RNA, 507 nt
Organism: Ostrea edulis (European flat oyster)
Lineage: Eukaryota; Metazoa; Mollusca; Bivalvia; Ostreida; Ostreidae
Exons: 3
Source: RefSeq, a predicted model, not a curated record
ACAUAAUCAUAUUCAGGUUGAUAUUACAUGUACCUUUCAGUAACUUUUCACGUUUACAUAUACUAGAGAUUUCCAGUUUGUUUUGAGUAUCAGAUGAGAUGUACAUUUCAUAACAAUCCGACAAAUUUUCACAAUCCAUUUCUCUUUUCAUUUUUCCAGAUUUCCCAUGGUGUGUGCACAAUUUCAUGAUGGAAAAACCACAAAGUCUAUUACAGUGUUGGCAGUAUCCCAGUCAUUGAUCCCUGCUUGUUGACUGCCAAGCAAGAAUGGUCACAGCUAGGAUGACGUGUACGUCGGCAAGCCAAAGACAGAGACAAGUGGGGCAAUGCACAGGGGCAGUUUGAACUAGCGGGUACGGAGAGUUAGAUACAUGGGUGCUCUGACCUUCCACACCUACCCAGUCACACUGCGCAAGUCAGGGAACAGUCACGGCGUCAUCUAGCAGUCGCUAGAAAAUUCAGUUGUCGGAGUUUUAUUUCAUAAUCUCUAUCCAUAACUUGAAAAGAA